This 253-nucleotide ribosomal RNA is filed under the name uncultured bacterium. RNAcentral describes it as "partial 16S ribosomal RNA". It matches the Rfam family "Bacterial small subunit ribosomal RNA", at positions 524 to 776 of the family's 1533-position model. The record is from RNAcentral.
AACGUAGGUGGCGAGCGUUAUCCGGAAUCACUGGGCUUAAAGCGUGUGUAGGCGGAUUGGUAAGUACCUUGUGAAAUCCCACAGCUUAACUGUGGAACUGCUCGGUAUACUGCUGAUCUUGAGCCACUCAGGGGCUACCGGAACAAAUGGUGGAGCGGUGAAAUGCGUAGAUAUCAUUUGGAACGCCAAUGGUGAAAACAGGUAGCUGGGGGUGUGCUGACGCUGAGACACGAAAGCCAGGGGAGCAAACGGG